Molecule: ribosomal RNA, 500 nt
Filed under: uncultured bacterium
Lineage: Bacteria
Description: partial 16S ribosomal RNA
Rfam family: Bacterial small subunit ribosomal RNA
Source: RNAcentral
AUUGAACGCUGGCGGCAUGCCUUACACAUGCAAGUCGAACGGCAGCACGGGAGCAAUCCUGGUGGCGAGUGGCGAACGGGUGAGUAAAGUAUCGGAACGUGCCCAGUCGUGGGGGAUAACGUAGCGAAAGUUACGCUAAUACCGCAUACGAUCUAUGGAUGAAAGCGGGGGAUCGCAAGACCUCGCGCGAUUGGAGCGGCCGAUAUCAGAUUAGGUAGUUGGUGGGGUAAAGGCCCACCAAGCCGACGAUCUGUAGCUGGUCUGAGAGGACGACCGGCCACACGGGGAAUGAGACGCGGACCAGAGUCCUACGGGAGGCGGCAGUGGGGAAUUUUGGACAAUGGGCGAAAGCCUGAUCCAGCCAUGCCGCGUGCAGGAUGAAGGCCUUCGGGUUGUAAACUGCUUUUGUACGGAACGAAAAGGACUGCCCUAAUACGGUGGUCCCAUGACGGUACCGUAAGAAUAAGCACCGGCUAACUACGUGCCAGCAGCCGCCGUAA